RNAcentral lists this transfer RNA (74 nucleotides) under Dissostichus mawsoni (Antarctic toothfish). RNAcentral's name for it is "tRNA-Lys". It matches the Rfam family "tRNA". Rfam says of the family: Transfer RNA (tRNA) molecules are approximately 80 nucleotides in length. The record is from RNAcentral. Lineage: Eukaryota; Metazoa; Chordata; Actinopteri; Perciformes; Nototheniidae.
CGCUAAGAAGCUAAGUAGGGUAUAGCAUUAGCCUUUUAAGCUAAACCUUGGUGACUCCCGACCACCCUUAACGG